RNAcentral lists this ribosomal RNA (579 nucleotides) under Ralstonia sp. CRIB-50. RNAcentral's name for it is "bacterial SSU rRNA". It matches the Rfam family "Bacterial small subunit ribosomal RNA", at positions 103 to 678 of the family's 1533-position model. Lineage: Bacteria; Pseudomonadati; Pseudomonadota; Betaproteobacteria; Burkholderiales; Burkholderiaceae. The record is from RNAcentral.
CGGGUGAGUAAUAUAUCGGAACGUGCCCUGUAGUGGGGGAUAACUAGUCGAAAGAUUAGCUAAUACCGCAUACGACCUGAGGGUGAAAGUGGGGGACCGCAAGGCCUCACGCUAUAGGAGCGGCCGAUAUCUGAUUAGCUAGUUGGUGGGGUAAAGGCCUACCAAGGCGACGAUCAGUAGCUGGUCUGAGAGGACGAUCAGCCACACUGGGACUGAGACACGGCCCAGACUCCUACGGGAGGCAGCAGUGGGGAAUUUUGGACAAUGGGGGAAAGCCUGAUCCAGCAAUGCCGCGUGUGUGAAGAAGGCCUUCGGGUUGUAAAGCACUUUUGUCCGGAAAGAAAUCCCUUGGGAUAAUACCUCGGGGGGAUGACGGUACCGGAAGAAUAAGGACCGGCUAACUACGUGCCAGCAGCCGCGGUAAUACGUAGGGUCCGAGCGUUAAUCGGAAUUACUGGGCGUAAAGCGUGCGCAGGCGGUUUUGUAAGACAGAUGUGAAAUCCCCGGGCUUAACCUGGGAAUUGCAUUUGUGACUGCNAGGCUAGAGUGUGUCAGAGGGGGGUAGAAUUCCACGUGUAG